GCCGGGAGCGGUGGCGAGUGCCUGUAGUCCCAGCUACUCGGGAGACUGAGGUGGGAGGAUCACUUGAGCCCAGGAGUUCUGGGCUGCAGUGCGCUAUGCCGAUCGGUUGUCCACACUAAGUUCAACAUCAAUAUGGUGGCCUCCCGGGAGCGGGGAAUCACCAGGUUGCCUAAGGAGGGGUGAACCGGCCCAGGUCGGAAACGGAGCAGGUCAAAACUCCCGUGCUAAUCAGUAGUGGGAUAGCACCUGUGAAUAGCCACUGCACUCCAGCCUGGGCAACAUAGCGAGACGGCGUCUCU
Molecule: signal recognition particle RNA, 299 nt
Filed under: Cebus imitator (Panamanian white-faced capuchin)
Lineage: Eukaryota; Metazoa; Chordata; Mammalia; Primates; Cebidae
Description: Metazoan signal recognition particle RNA (ENSCCAG00000014012.1)
Rfam family: Metazoan signal recognition particle RNA
About the family: The signal recognition particle (SRP) is a universally conserved ribonucleoprotein. It is involved in the co-translational targeting of proteins to membranes. The eukaryotic SRP consists of a 300-nucleotide 7S RNA and six proteins: SRPs 72, 68, 54, 19, 14, and 9.
Source: RNAcentral